AACGAACGCUGGCGGCAUGCCUAACACAUGCAAGUCGAACGAGACCUUCGGGUCUAGUGGCGCACGGGUGCGUAACGCGUGGGAACCUGCCUUUAGGUUCGGAAUAACUCAGAGAAAUUUGAGCUAAUACCGGAUGAUGUCUUCGGACCAAAGAUUUAUCGCCUUUAGAUGGGCCCGCGUUGGAUUAGCUAGUUGGUGGGGUAAAGGCCUACCAAGGCGACGAUCCAUAGCUGGUCUGAGAGGAUGAUCAGCCACACUGGGACUGAGACACGGCCCAGACUCCUACGGGAGGCAGCAGUGGGGAAUAUUGGACAAUGGGCGAAAGCCUGAUCCAGCAAUGCCGCGUGAGUGAUGAAGGCCUUAGGGUUGUAAAGCUCUUUUACCCGAGAUGAUAAUGACAGUAUCGGGAGAAUAAGACUCCGGCUAACUCCGUG
This 434-nucleotide ribosomal RNA is filed under the name uncultured bacterium. RNAcentral describes it as "bacterial SSU rRNA". It matches the Rfam family "Bacterial small subunit ribosomal RNA", at positions 29 to 507 of the family's 1533-position model. The record is from RNAcentral.